AUACGGAAGGUGCAAGCGUUAAUCGGAAUCACUGGGCGUAAAGCGCUCGUAGGUGGCUUUGUAAGUCAGGUGUGAAAGCCCACGGCUCAACCGUGGAAUUGCACUUGAUACUGCAUUGCUUGAGGUUCGGGAGAGGGUAGUGGAAUUCCAGGUGUAGGAGUGAAAUCCGUAGAGAUCUGGAGGAACACCAGUGGCGAAGGCGACUACCUGGACCGAUACUGACACUGAGGAGACGAAAGCGGUGGGGAGAC
This 251-nucleotide ribosomal RNA is filed under the name uncultured bacterium. Its description in RNAcentral is "partial 16S ribosomal RNA". It matches the Rfam family "Bacterial small subunit ribosomal RNA", at positions 523 to 771 of the family's 1533-position model. The record is from RNAcentral.